UAGUCAUAUGCUUGUCUCAAAGAUUAAGCCAUGCAUGUCUAAGUACAGGCUUUGGUACAGCGAAACCGCGAAUGGCUCAUUAAAUCAGCUAUAAUUUAUUAGAUUGUUCUCUACUUGGAUAACUGUGGGAAUUCUAGAGCUAAUACAUGCACAAAAGCUCCGACCUUCGGGAAGGAGUGCAGUUAUUAGACCAAAACCAGCCGAGCUUCGGCUCGAACUGUUUGGUGACUCUGGAUAACUACGAGCGGAUCGCAUGGCCUUGUGCCGGCGACAUAUCUUUCAAGUGUCUGACCUAUCAACUGACGAUGGUACGCGAUAUGCCUACCAUGGUGAUAACGGGUAACGGAGAAUAAGGGUUCGACUCCGGAGAGGGAGCCUGAGAAAUGGCUACCACAUCCAAGGAUGGCAGCAGGCGCGCAAAUUACCCACUCUCAGUACGAGGAGGUAGUGACGAAAAAUAACAAUGCGGGACUCUUUGAGGCCUCGCAAUUGGAAUGAGCGCACUUUAAAUCGUUCGACGAGGAUCUAUU
Molecule: ribosomal RNA, 530 nt
Filed under: uncultured eukaryote
Lineage: Eukaryota
Description: SSU rRNA
Rfam family: Eukaryotic small subunit ribosomal RNA
Source: RNAcentral